This is a ribosomal RNA of 400 nucleotides. The stretch from base 65 to 218 matches the Rfam family "5.8S ribosomal RNA".
GCCGGAGGAUAACCAAACUCUGAUUUAACGACGUUUCUUCUGAGUGACACAAGCAAAUAAUCAAAACUUUUAACAACGGAUCUCUUGGUUCUGGCAUCGAUGAAGAACGCAGCGAAAUGCGAUAAGUAAUGUGAAUUGCAGAAUUCAGUGAAUCAUCGAAUCUUUGAACGCACAUUGCGCCCGCCAGCAUUCUGGCGGGCAUGCCUGUUCGAGCGUCAUUUCAACCCUCAAGCUCUGCUUGGUGUUGGGGCUCUACGGUUGACGUAGGCCCUUAAAGGUAGUGGCGGACCCUCUCGGAGCCUCCUUUGCGUAGUAACAUUUCGUCUCGCAUUGGGAUUCGGAGGGACUCUAGCCGUAAAACCCCCAAUUUUACUAAGGUUGACCUCGGAUCAGGUAGGAA